CCUGCAUGUCUAAGUAUGAACGCUUCUAUACUGUGAAACUGCGAAUGGCUCAUUAAAUCAGUUAUAGUUUAUUUGAUGGUUCCUUGCUACUUGGAUAACCGUAGUAAUUCUAGAGCUAAUACAUGCAGAAAGUCCCGACUUUUGGAAGGGAUGUAUUUAUUAGAUCCAAAACCAGCGCGAGUCUCCUCGUGGGUCUCGGUUGCUCGGUGAUUCAUGAUAACUGCUCGAAUCGCAGGGCCUUUGUGCCGGCGAUGAUCCAUUCAAAUUUCUGCCCUAUCAACUUUCGAUGGUACGGUAGUGGCCUACCAUGGUUGCAACGGGUGACGGAGAAUUAGGGUUCGAUUCCGGAGAGGGAGCCUGAGAAACGGCUACCACAUCCAAGGAAGGCAGCAGGCGCGCAAAUUACCCAAUCCCGACUCGGGGAGGUAGUGACAAUAAAUAACAAUGCCGGGCUAUCGUAGUCUGGCAAUUGGAAUGAGUACAACGUAAAUCCCUUAACGAGGAACAAUUGGAGGGCAAGUCUGGUGCCAGCAGCCGCGGUAAUUCCAGCUCCAAUAGCGUAUAUUAAAGUUGUUGCAGUUAAAAAGCUCGUAGUUGGAUUUCGGGGCAGUCCGUCUGGUCCGCCGCGAGGCGAGCACUGGUCGGGCGCCCUUCCUCUCGGAGGCCCCGACUGCUCUUGGUUGCAGUGGUCGGGGAGUUCGGGACGUUUACUUUGAAAAAAUUAGAGUGUUCAAGGCAGGCCGCCGCCUGAAUACAUUAGCAUGGAAUAAUGGAACAGGACCUCGGUCCUAUUUUGUUGGUUUCCAGGGCCGAAGUAAUGAUUAAGAGGGACAGUUGGGGGCAUUCGUAUUUAAUUGUCAGAGGUGAAAUUCUCGGAUUUAUGAAAGACGAACAACUGCGAAAGCAUUUGCCAAGGAUGUUUUCAUUAAUCAAGAACGAAAGUUGGGGGUUCGAAGACGAUCAGAUACCGUCGUAGUCCCAACCAUAAACUAUGCCGACUAGGGAUCGGCGGAUGUUAGCGUUUGACUCCGUCGGCACCUUAGGAGAAAUCAAAGUGUUUGGGUUCCGGGGGGAGUAUGGUCNCAAGGCUGAAACUUAAAGGAAUUGACGG
RNAcentral lists this ribosomal RNA (1111 nucleotides) under Axinella sp. 1 TF-2017. RNAcentral's name for it is "SSU rRNA". It matches the Rfam family "Eukaryotic small subunit ribosomal RNA", at positions 50 to 1159 of the family's 1831-position model. Lineage: Eukaryota; Metazoa; Porifera; Demospongiae; Axinellida; Axinellidae. The record is from RNAcentral.